UACAGAGGGGGCCAGCGUUAUUCGGAAUCACUGGGCGUAAAGGGUGCGUAGGCGGGUUUUUAAGUCAGGGGUGAAAUCCUGGAGCUCAACUCCAGAACUGCCUUUGAUACUGAAGAUCUUGAGUCCGGGAGAGGUGAGUGGAACUGCGAGUGUAGAGGUGAAAUUCGUAGAUAUUCGCAAGAACACCAGUGGCGAAGGCGGCUCACUGGCCCGGUACUGACGCUGAGGCACGAAAGCGUGGGGAGCAAACAGG
RNAcentral lists this ribosomal RNA (253 nucleotides) under uncultured bacterium. RNAcentral's name for it is "partial 16S ribosomal RNA". It matches the Rfam family "Bacterial small subunit ribosomal RNA", at positions 524 to 776 of the family's 1533-position model. The record is from RNAcentral.